AGCAGACUGUAGCUGCGAGUCCUGGGUUGGAAGGCGCGAGGCCUGGCCUUGAAGGGCUGCAGAUGGUGGCCUCAAGCCUGCCACGUCCUUGAGGGGCCCGCGGCAGCCCUGAGGGUAGGAACGUCACGUUACUGUGCGUUACUUGCUACUUGCGUUGUUACAUUAUUCCGUUAAGGUCCGUUCACGGCCCUUUAAGAACGGUAGACACCACCUCAAGGUGCUCUUAACUAGGGUCCCCGGGCUGUCGUCUUACCCUGUAGGCUUAGCUCCCAGCGCUGCAGGGGCGCGGGGGCGCCCUGGGGGGGGGGGGUGGCCCCGUGACCAGCACUGCCCGCCGCCCUCGCUCACGCUCUGGGUCACGUCCUGAGCCGCCCGCAUCUUCCCCAGGAGAGGGAGGCAUCUUGUUGAAGUUGAGGCCAGGGCCAAGGAUUGGUUAUCAAAGGAAAGGAAAUGAACUGCUAUCAGCUCACCUCUGAGUGGCACUUCCCCGCCCACCGGCUGUUAGCACCUGGGAGAGGGGGGAUGCACUUUCCCCGCCCACCCGGCUGUUAGCAGGGGGGGUGUGCACUUCCCGUGUGCACCGCCUGUUAGCCUUGGGGAGGGGGCUGCACUUCCCCACGGCUGUUAGCACUGGAGAGAGGGUGCACUGCUCAUUUCUGCGCGUAGGCCCUAGGCCAGGUAAGAAUUGCAUCAAGAAGGAAAGGUGGGGGCUGGGUUGUGGCUUAGUGGUGGAGGACUUGCCUUGCACUUGAGAGCCACUGGGGUUCCAUCCUCAGCACGACAUUUAAAAAAAAAAGUGUGUCCAUUUACAAUUAAAAAAUAAUAAUAAAAAUAGGGGAUAGUUAACUUAAAAAAGAAAAAGAGGAAGGAAAGAUGGGUAGGGCUGGCUCCUGCAGGGCCUACUGGGAUCCUAGUAAAAGUAGGAGUUUUGGCCACAGGUUCCUUGGUGUAUUUCAGAAGGGCAUUUCAUGACUGUUCAGGUGCACUGAGGUAGAUUUUGUCAGGUCAGUGACCCCAGCACCCCCACUGACCUAGGUUUUGAUACAGGGCUUGUAGAUGAAGCCCCCUGAGUGUUCCAGAGAGGACCCCUGCCUGAAGUGAAGAAGGAGUCGAACAAAUGGUGAAGACUGCAGAAGGUGGCCCCCAGUUUAUCAAGUAACGCAUUUGGAAGCAGCUCAGAGAUGGCCUGUUUUUUCCCUGCUUGAGCCUGACUUUAACUCAAAUACUCUUGCUUGACUUUUUUUUUCUUUAAUAUUUUUUAGUUGUCAAUGGACCUUUAUUUCAUUUAUUUAUGGGGUGCUGAGAAUCGAACCCAGUGCCUCACACAUACUAGGCAAGUGCUCUGCCACUGAGCCCCAACCCCAGCCCCCUCUUACUUGACUUUUUGUGUCUGACUUUAAAUUCUUUCCUUGGGACAGAAGAACUGAGGCAUGGAGCUUCAGCUCCUCACUGUCUGCUGCAGUCUGGCUGGGCACAAUUCACACAGGCAACACCACAUGACCUCUUCAGGAAUUCCCUGGGAGCCCAACUACCACCACCGGCUUCCCACAGCCUCUCAACCCCCACCACACACUCCUCCUGCUCUUGAGGCCGAUUGGCUGGGUUGCGUGGGUGGAGCCAAAAGAGUCCCCCAAUGAGCAGCUCCAUGGUCUGAAAGGGUGGGGAAACAGCCCAAUGAGCAUUACCACAGAGGAGCCAAUCAGCUGGCAGCUGGAAGUUUGCUGGGGCUGCUGUGAGCCAAUCAUCAGCUGGCAGCUGGAAGUUUGCUGGGGCGGCUGUGAGCCAAUCAUCACAUUCUUUAGGAUCCUUCCAUUUUAAUACCAUCACACUUCUAUGGGGAUUAGUUGCCACUCCUAGGCCUUGAAGCAUUUGAGUGGCUUGUUGUAAAGGCCAAUCUUUUGGCCAUUCUUGACGAGAGACGAUGCUAAGAUCUGCACCUGUGUCUAGUAGUCCAUUGAAAUUUUUUCCUUGAAUAGUUAAGUUUAACGUAGGGCGAGAAUCUAAAUUUAAAGAAAGCAUAGCCCAAUCUAUACCUGUGGAGCCAAAUCCUUUGGAACCUCUUUCUACAUUAUGACUAGCAAAUUUGUCAUGUGAGCUAGGGAGUAUUAAUAACUGUGCAAUCCUAUCUCCUGGUGAAAUUACUGAGAUACCCCUUGGAGAACUAGCUAUAAUUUUUAUCUCACCUUCAUAAUUGGAAUCAAUUACCCCAGGAUUUAUCAUAAGUCCUUUUAGAGUAGAAGAACUGCGUCCUAAUAAUAAGCCUACUGUUCCUUGGGAAAGAGGUCCUUUUACCCCUGUGGGAAUGAUUUGAACUCCCAUCUCUGGAGUUAGUACUGCUCUGGCAGAGGCGCAGAUGUCCAAUCCUGCGCUUCCUCUGGUUUGUCUGAUAAAGGAGUUAACGGAUAAUGUGUCCUGGGCACUACCCUGAUGGUGUUGCUGGGUUCCUUCAGUGCCCCGUAUAUUUGCGGUUGUGGGCCCUGGGGCAUCGGCCCCCUCAUCCGUUUUUUGGCAACGGAGUACCCUCUACAGUAGUCUGAGAACGGCAUUCAUAAGCCCAGUGUUUUCCUCUAUGACAUUGUGGGCAAACACCUGGUAUUUUUCUUUUUUGAUCAUACCCAGUUUUGUAACUUGUUUUAAACUCUCCUCCUAUAGGGCAAUUUCUUCGAAAGUGUCCUGCUUGACCACAAUUAUAACAUGUUUUUGGCCUGGCACCUAAAGCCUGUUGUACUCUCCGGUUACUGCAGCUGCCAAGACUUGCCCCUGCAUCACUGGUUCACCAAUAUCUCUACACAGUUUAAUGUAUGCAUUUAAGUCUUUAUAUUUACAAGGUCUAAUAGCCUCCCUACACCAUCUAUUGGCUUGUUCGUAGGCUAGUUGCUUUAUUAAUGGCAUCGCUUGUUCUACAUUCCCAAAGACUCUGCUUGCUGUUUGUAUAAGCCUAUCUACAAUCUCAGCUUAAGGUUCAUUAGCUCCUUGUAUUACCUUAGAUAAUUGACCUUGUAAAUCUCCUUGUCCUUGUAAAGUCUUCCAUGCCUUAACUGCAGCUGAAGCGAUUUGUGAGUAUAUGGCAGGAUCAAAUCUAGUUUGUUGCUGCUGAUCCUCAUAAGGUCCUUCUCCUAGCAACAUAUCUAGAUUUCUCUGUGGAUACCCAGCUGCUGCAUUUCCCUUGGCAGUCUCCAUACACAAUUCUUGAUUAGCAACUUUCUAUAACAGAUAUUGUCCUCCAUUUAGCACAGCCUUGCAUAUGCUAGCCCAAUCUGCUGGUGUCAAGUUAUAAUUUGCAAUGGACUCAACCAUGCUUAUGGUAAAAGGGGCUUGAGGACCAUAGGCUGCUACAGCUUCUUUUAACUGCUUUACAGUUUUAAAAUCCAAAGCCUGGUGAUAUCGCUGCCCUCUCUCAUCCUCAAGUACAGGGCAUGCUAAUCUUCAAGGUCCUGUCUCAGGAUCCCAUCUAUCAACUAUGGGGGUUGGGGGCCACCCAGCAUAUGUUGUCUCCAUAGGUGGAGCUGUUGGUUGAAUACUUACACCCUCUGGUGUUAGAAAGGUGUUAGUAGCAGCCUCCCGUUGUAACUCCUCCCCUGAUAGCCCUUCCUCCUCUAAACUUUCUUCUCCUGUCUGACUAGCUCGAGAGACUUCCUCUUUUACUUGAUCAAAGAUGUCUUCUUGACUAAGCAAACAGGAUCGUACCAACGUCCAUAAUGGUAAUGUGCCAACUGGCAGAGUUCCUGGGCUUUCCUUUUCUAUCUUUUUUAAAUCUUCACCAUGAUGGUCCCAUUGUGAUAUUAACGACUCCUCCUUAAAGAACCAUGGGCUACAUUUUUGUAUCGUAUCAACGUAUGCCCUAAUUAUUCUUGGUUUUACUGGGGGCCUCCUUCCUCUAGCAAUUUACUUAACACCCUUUCGGUUUGGUUUUAACUAACUUCUGAUCCCAUUUUUCCAUAACAAAGAUAAAACAAUCCACUAAGAUAACACAAAAUAAAACCGAAACAAAACGGAACAAAAACACACUGUAUCAACUUUUGUAUUUUCUUGAAAUGUGCAUCCGUUCUCUGGCCCUAUCUGUUCCUCAGGGCCGAUCAGCUUUUCUCCCAUCCUAUUUAUUUCUAGGGACAGGCAGCUUAAAAAUGAAAUGAAAAAAAAAAAAAUGAAACAAGAACACACUGUUUCUUGAAAUGGUCACCCAUCCUCUCGCCCUAUCCUCAGGGGCAAGCAGCCUUACCUUGUCACUUACUCCCAAGCGUCCUGGAGCUCCCCAUAUGGGCCACCAUAUGCCGCAGUCUAGCUGGGCAAAAUAACCAGGAGGUGACAAGCAACUUGAAGGUUGAAGUGGGAACUGCUUUAUUGUGGGGAAACUGAGCGGGAACUUAAGGUAGCGGGCACCCAAGGUAGCAGGAGCCGCUUUAUUGCAGGACACCAGAGGUGUAUAUAUACCUAACUGAUUACACACAGCUUGACUCAAUUAGCAUCAUCUAGAUACAGCAAGCAGCCAAAUAGGAAUCCCCACCAUCUAAAUGGCUCGGUGGUGUUGCUUCACAAACCACUCCUCCUGGCAAACUGCCAGGCGCCAUCUUGACUUGAUUUGCCAUCCCCAACACCGUGGGAAUUCUCCUACAUGAUUGGGUCUGCUCCUACACCAUGGGCUGCUCCUACACCAUCAGCCUGCUCCUACACCAUGGGCUACUCCUAUACCAUGGGCUACUCCUUUACCAUGGGCCUGCUACUACACCAUGGCCCGCUCCCACAGCAUGGCCUGCUCCUAUGCCAUGUGCUGCUCCUACACCAUGACCUGCUCCUACACCAUGUGCUGCUCCUACACCAUGGGCUACUCCUGCACCAUGUGCUGCUCCUGCACCAUGUGCUGCUCCUACACCAUCAGCCUGCUCCUACACCAUCAGCCUACUCCUACACCAUGUGCUGCUCCUACACCAUGGGCUACUCCUACACCAUCAGCCUGCUCCUACACCAUGGGCUACUCCUGCACCAUGUGCUGCUCCUGCACCAUGUGCUGCUCCUACACCAUCAGCCUGCUCCUACACCAUGGGCUGCUCCUACACCAUGGCCUGCUCCCACACCAUGGGCUGCUCCCAC
Molecule: long non-coding RNA, 5088 nt
Filed under: Marmota monax (woodchuck)
Lineage: Eukaryota; Metazoa; Chordata; Mammalia; Rodentia; Sciuridae
Source: RNAcentral